RNAcentral lists this ribosomal RNA (253 nucleotides) under uncultured bacterium. RNAcentral describes it as "partial 16S ribosomal RNA". It matches the Rfam family "Bacterial small subunit ribosomal RNA", at positions 524 to 776 of the family's 1533-position model. The record is from RNAcentral.
UACGACGGGGGCUAGCGUUGUUCGGAAUUACUGGGCGUAAAGCGCGCGCAGGCGGUUCUUCAAGUCAGAGGUGAAAGCCCAGAGCUCAACUCUGGAAUGGCCUUUGAGACUAGAGAACUAGGGUACGGGAGAGGUGAGUGGAAUUCCGAGUGUAGAGGUGAAAUUCGUAGAGAUUCGGAAGAACACCAGUGGCGAAGGCGGCUCACUGGCCCGUUACCGACGCUCAGGCGCGACAGGGUGGGGAGCAAACAGG